GUUCGAUGGGCAGAGAGAGCUUUUCAAUCUUCCUUUUUCAGUGGGGCUGAUACGUCACUGGCCCAGUGAUGGCCUAGCCCAAAAGGUAGGCCCAACAAACGCCGGUCCAGCAUGGCCCAGGCCCACACAAACUGCCCGGAUCUUCUGCGCCGGGCAGAUCCGCCGCGCCGCUGCGGGGCUUGCUUCCGUAAUCCGUAUCCGACCGGGCGCAGACCCCGAGCGUCGACGCCGGAACCGGCGGCGCGGCGACCAUGCGCGUACUGCCGCAUGGCGGCCACCAGGCUCCUCCCUCCGGAAAUAUAUGAGAAUACAAACACAAUCUGAAUUAAGCAAACUCAAUAUUGUUCAAGUCCUCUCGUUUAUAAGCUGUGGCCAGGGUAGAUUGAGGUGUGAAAGGUACAUCAUUGUCUUACAGAAAAACUGACAAGAUUUCGUCCACUGAGAAGUAAUAGGCUGUGGCAAGCCACAAUACCAAACAAAAAUUUGCCGAGAUGCCCUAGCCAUCAUCCCCUUGCAGGCCAAAACGGUUAUGGUGACAGUAUGGGAAGUACAGUAUUUUGUAAUAUUAAUUCCACCUGCAGUUGAUUCUCCAUUUUAUGCAAUGUUGGCCCUUGGCAGUAGUGCAGUGGAAAAAAUAGAAGAUAUUCUGGAAAUCAUGUACCAUGUACCAGCUACGUUAUGCUGCCCUUUUCCUCAAGAGUGAGAACUUCCUUAUGGUCGAUCACCUGACUGCAGUGCAAGAGCCUGAAGUCCUGAACAUGUAAAGCUACAAAGGACCUUUGAAGCAACCCUUUCAUCAAAUCCAGCUGGUAAAUCGCCUGGGUGAUUAUACUAUAGAUCAAGAGAACUUUUGGCCUGAUCUUCAUCCAGCAAAAGCCCUGGCAUGUGCUGAUUCAACUACUCAGGCAUAGCCCACUGACCAAGGAUAGGAUAGCAGCCAACCAAAUCUCAAGUCAAAAAGGCGCCUGCCCGGGGUCAGCUCAGAUGGUUCGGGCUAACAAAUCCGUCCUGCUCCAUCUCCGUGCAAGAGUUGAGCAGGGAUAGGAAAUCAAGCUGAACCGUGACCUCAGAGAGGAAAUGCUGGCUUUUGGAGGUUAGCAGGAAGCGCAUUUUGGUGCCAAAAAAAGGGAGUGCGUUUGGUUCGGCCGGUGGCAGCAGACUGGCAGCCAAUGCAGGCUAACAGGUUGGGCCCAAUCUGCGGAUGCCUUGAACUGGGUACUAUCUUCAAGACAAGAGGAUUGAGCCCAUGUGGAGUUCAAAACAAUAAGAGCAAGACAACGAACACAGCUGGAAACGGUAGAUAACAUUGAACUUUGCUUGAUUUCCCUGCUUAGCUUGAUCAUAUGAAUGGAAACACUAGACAAUUUGGAUGGCGUCA
Panicum hallii is the source of this 1378-nucleotide long non-coding RNA. RefSeq lists it as uncharacterized. The transcript is spliced from 3 exons. Lineage: Eukaryota; Viridiplantae; Streptophyta; Magnoliopsida; Poales; Poaceae. The record is from RefSeq and is a predicted model, not a curated record.